Molecule: long non-coding RNA, 311 nt
Filed under: Cyanistes caeruleus (blue tit)
Lineage: Eukaryota; Metazoa; Chordata; Aves; Passeriformes; Paridae
Description: lncRNA (ENSCCEG00000003233.1)
Source: RNAcentral
AAGCUUCAUACAUGUUGACAAAGAAGACACUGAAAAAACCUGGUACCAUGGUACCAGCAUGCUCAAGCCUAUUGCCUCCAGCAGUCCCACUUCUUCUCUGUGAAGGGCUGUGAGAAUCACCAAUACCUGCCCUUGCUCCAGCCACCUUGGAUAUCCCCACAAGCUCUGACUUCAUCUGGGGUCAUAAGGAGUGGAAAGGCUGAGCUGGCUAGGAAGGAAGAUAAGUUGGGAAAGGCAACAGGAGCCCAUUGACCAGCUGUCUGAGGACUCAGCAGGCUAGUCCUUCAAAGUUUUUCCAUGAAGCCAGCAGC